AUGCUUAAGCUUGCCGAGUUGCUGGUCAGUAGAUAUGUGUUGCCUGGUAGCAAUAUAGCAGAAGCUUCUUCAUCCAAAGUUUUCGAAAGUAUUUUGGACUUUGUCCUUUGUGUUCUGGAUUUUCCGGUCAUUUCUGACAAUUUACCCAUUAUAUCACCUUUCUAUGCUCCAUUGUUUAAACUAAAAAAUUCGAGUUUGAUUGUCUUUAUGAAGAAACUGUUAGCAAAAGGCCCGCACAUUAUACAUCAUUUCGAAAGUCAGAUAUUGAGUGCAAUGGACAAUUUCCUUGAGAGUUGACCAGAGGAAGUUCUCUUUAUCCUUCUGAAUUUCUUUAUAGUGUCAAAGAAGCAAAUAAUUCUUCAUAGCACUGAUGGAAAUCAUCCAGAUCCAGGGGAGAAAGUGAGCAAGUUCUUCGAAUCAAAAUUCUCUUUCUGGAUAGCUUGUCACUGCUGAAGAGUUAUUAGAUGAUAUAGUCAAUGGUUCUAGUAGUCAGGUCAGUGAAAAGGAAGCUGCUAUACUAUAGGGAUCUAUUUGCUUGUAUCCUAACAUGAAUGGUGUACAUCGAGAUAGCUUGUCACUGCUGAAGAAGUUAAUCUGCAACCUUGAUCGGUCGCUUGAAGUGGGUGAAGAGAACAUGAACGGUCUUCCAAAGACUACCUGGAGAAGUCUACUUGGCGCAGCAUUGUCAUCAUAUCAUGAACUAUUGCUGGUUAACACCAGUAGAAAUUCAGAAUUAAGUCUUUUCGUAUCGCUCGCCAAGAGGCACAGUCAUGCCCACAAGUACUGUCUGCUGUAGCCGAAUAUUUGGAUUCCCUGCAAGGAGUAGCAUCCCUGGAAGUGACAGAAGAAUUUGAUUCACAAAAUCUUUUGGAUCUGUUCUCUAUCUUUGCUGUUAACUUGAGCAGUCCGAACAGGGAUGUUUGGAUUUUAACAUUGAGGAUUCUAUCCUAUUUUGUGAAGAUGGAUCAACGUCUAGGGACAAAUGAGGAGCGAGCACACAAGAGACAAAUAACAGAAGAUUCCGGAGAGGAAACUGUUACUAAAUACACUAAUGUUGUGGAUACCCUUCUUGCUGUUGAGUCAACUCCAAUUUCGGUAUCCACUAGCCGGAAAAUUGCUAUCUUCAUUUCUCGAGUACAAAUGAGUCUUUCUUCCAAGAUGGUUCUUGACUAUUACAUACCUCCUCUCUUACAUGGGAUUAUCGGCAUAUUAUACAAUAGAUUUAGUGAUCUGUGGCCACCAAGGCUGGAUUGCCUUGCUGUCCUCAUUAGGAAACACAAGGGGCUUGUCUGGAGUCAGUUUGUUCAGUUUAUUGCAAUUCACCAAUCAAAAAGUCUGAUUCUGAAAAAUCAGGAGAAG
This is a long non-coding RNA of Phragmites australis (common reed), 1359 nucleotides long. RefSeq lists it as uncharacterized. NCBI's taxonomy places the organism in Eukaryota, Viridiplantae, Streptophyta, Magnoliopsida, Poales, Poaceae. The record is from RefSeq and is a predicted model, not a curated record. The transcript is spliced from 6 exons.